This is a non-coding RNA of Peromyscus maniculatus bairdii (prairie deer mouse), 1099 nucleotides long. NCBI's taxonomy places the organism in Eukaryota, Metazoa, Chordata, Mammalia, Rodentia, Cricetidae. The record is from RefSeq and is a predicted model, not a curated record.
GGUAGAGAGAUGCUGUCAGCUGCCGCCAUGAGAAGAUGUUAAGAUACCGGAGGCCAUCUCUCCAGAAGAAAAGAGUCCAGAGUGUCCAGAAAGGAUUCAAAGGCCACUUUCAAAAGAGACACUCCACUUACCGCAAGGGCUUCCUUCUUUGCACAGGGCCAACUGUUGAAAGAGAAGAGUACUUGGUGCAGAGUCCUGCUUUAGUAAGUGGAUAUCUCACCGAUGUGUUCUUUCUGGAAAGUUCUCAAGGAAGGCUGCCAGUUCCAGAGGGCCAGCCAGAAGAGAAGGAAAAUGGACACCAUAGUGUGUAGGAAGCUAUUCACUGUACCAUGCAUGGAAGUGUCCAGGAUGAACUGACCCAGCCUGUUGUGCUACAUGUUGGGAUUAGGGAUUGAGACACAAGACAGGAACAGUUCUUUCUUCCUGAUGGGCCAAAUAGUUGGUACAUUUUGCUUCAGGCCUUCAAAAUCUCACCAUUCACCUUGAGUAAAGAUAGUAGUCUGGGGUGGAAGACCUAUCCACUGAAAAAUCUGUUACAGGAGUCAGCUGGGUUGAUGAGGCCAUGGCCACCUUGGCAGUGCACACAAGAACGCACAUAAUCAUGUGCAAUAACAACCUUCCUUAAGCCAACCUGAAGUCUGCUGCUGCUCUUGGUGAUUGGUGACCUAUGAACUUCAGAUUGAUGGGGCCAAUGAGAAGAAGCCAACACAGCCAAGGAAAUGGCUGACAGCCAAUGGGGUGCCAGGAGGGUGUAUUUAGUCUUGCUUCAUACCAGCAAAACAGGAGUCUGUGGGUUGCUUCUCACCUGACUCCUGAUGUCUGCAUCAUUGACUCUGCUCCUUCUCUCCUCCGUCCACAAGAGAUGUUCCAGCUGUUUGGUCCAGCUGAACAAUGGCAGUUCAGCUUGUAACAACUGGCACCCAAUGUGGGGCUCUAGGACCCUGUGUGGGCAUGGGCUUUGACCUCGCCUGGGUCAGUGUGGUGAUAUUUUAUUUUGCUGAGAUGUGAUUUUAUUUGUAUGUUAAUAAAUAAAGUUUGCCUGGAGAUCAGAGGUCACGUAGCAAGCCAUAAACAGAAGUUAGACAGUGGUAGCACAUGC